GUUAUUUUGUGCCUCUUCUUGUUUUACUGUGUCUUCUCUUCCCCUUUCUCAGCCCAACAAGCCCUAGGGCAGAGGUUCAUUACAUAGAGAUUACAUCCGAUUCACCUGGGAGCUGUCUGCAGGAAUGAUGCCCGCUUUGACCAGUGGAAAGUCGUGCUUAGUGGUCUCAGGUUAUAUACAUAUGGAAGUAAAAGUACAAAGAGUGUUCUGGAAGCAUCUGUACUCAAUUCAUGACACAGUGC
This 242-nucleotide long non-coding RNA is filed under the name Chinchilla lanigera (long-tailed chinchilla). Its description in RNAcentral is "lncRNA (ENSCLAG00000024606.1)". The record is from RNAcentral. Lineage: Eukaryota; Metazoa; Chordata; Mammalia; Rodentia; Chinchillidae.